Molecule: ribosomal RNA, 433 nt
Filed under: uncultured bacterium
Lineage: Bacteria
Description: partial 16S ribosomal RNA
Rfam family: Bacterial small subunit ribosomal RNA
Source: RNAcentral
AACGAACGCUGGCGGCAUGCCUAACACAUGCAAGUCGAACGAGACCUUCGGGUCCAGUGGCGCACGGGUGCGUAACGCGUGGGAACCUGCCCUUAGGUUCGGAAUAACUCCCCGAAAGGGGUGAUAAUACCGGAUCAUGUCUUCGGACCAAAGAUUUAUCGCCUUUGGAUGGGCCCGAGUUGGAUUAGCUAGUUGGUAGGGUAAAAGCCUACCAAGGCGACGAUCCAUAGCUGGUCUGAGAGGAUGAUCAGCCACACUGGGACUGAGACACGGCCCAGACUCCUACGGGAUGCAGCAGAGGGGAAUAGUGGACAAUGGGCGAAAGCCUGAUCCAGCAAUGCCGCGUGAGUGAUGAAGGCCUUAGGGUUGUAAAGCUCUUUUACCCGGGAUGAUAAUGACAGUACCGGGAGAAUAAGCUCCGGCUAACUCCGUG